CGCACAUUGCGCCUCUUGGUAUUCCUCGAGGCAUGCCUAUUCGAGCGUCGUUUCGACCCUCAAGCGCGAGCUUGGUGUUGGGGAGCGCCACCGGCGAGACGGUGGCGGCCCUUGAAUCCAUCGGCGGUGCCGGUGCGGCCUGGAGCGCAGCAGUCAUGCGGCUCUCAAGCCCUCUGGAACCCGCCGGAAGAACGUGCGCCCUCUGACGGGGGCCAUUUCUCUCACGUCGACCUCGAAUUAGGUAGGGAUACCCGCUGAACUUAA
Molecule: unclassified non-coding RNA, 264 nt
Filed under: fungal sp.
Lineage: Eukaryota; Fungi
Description: partial contains 5.8S ribosomal RNA, internal transcribed spacer 2, and large subunit ribosomal RNA
Source: RNAcentral